GAUGAAGAACGUAGCGAAAUGCGAUAAGUAAUGCGAAUUGCAGAAUUAGUGAAUCAUCGAGUCUUUGAACGCACAUUGCGCCCCCUGGUAUUCCGGGGGGCAUGCCUGUCCGAGCGUCAUUGCUGCCCUCAAGCACGGCUUGUGUGUUGGGCCCCGUCCUCCGAUCCCGGGGGACGGGCCCGAAAGGCAGCGGCGGCACCGCGUCCGGUCCUCGAGCGUAUGGGGCUUUGUCACCCGCUCUGUAGGCCCGGCCGGCGCUUGCCGAUCAACCCAAAUUUUUAUCCAGGUUGACCUCGGAUCAGGUAGGGAUACCCGCUGAACUUAAGCAUAUCAAUAAGCGGAGGA
RNAcentral lists this unclassified non-coding RNA (345 nucleotides) under soil metagenome. RNAcentral describes it as "partial contains 5.8S ribosomal RNA, internal transcribed spacer 2, and large subunit ribosomal RNA". The stretch from base 1 to 119 matches the Rfam family "5.8S ribosomal RNA", at positions 35 to 154 of the family's 154-position model. The record is from RNAcentral.